This 105-nucleotide non-coding RNA is filed under the name Heterosigma akashiwo. The record is from RNAcentral. Lineage: Eukaryota; Raphidophyceae; Chattonellales; Chattonellaceae.
ACAAAGUGGAGAAAUAGCCUAGGUAGAAUAUUGCCAUACCUCCUCUGCUCAUGUCAUUAGCAUAUUUUUUCUUUUCUUAUUAUUUUAUUUUUUAUUUUCUGCUUA